UGGGCGGGAGAGAGCAGAAAUAGCCGCCGAAGAUGUAAGUAAUUGGGAUUAGUCACCUUGUUAUGAAACUUUCAGGCAAAAGGACCGGCAGUG
RNAcentral lists this non-coding RNA (93 nucleotides) under pig gut metagenome. Its description in RNAcentral is "Glycine riboswitch". The stretch from base 5 to 87 matches the Rfam family "Glycine riboswitch aptamer", at positions 11 to 84 of the family's 94-position model. From Rfam's summary of the family: This family represents the bacterial glycine riboswitch. Glycine riboswitches usually consist of two metabolite-binding aptamers domains with similar structures in tandem. The aptamers cooperatively bind glycine to regulate the expression of downstream genes. The record is from RNAcentral.